UUCUUCGCGAGCGGGCGGCCGGUCGAUUCUAACGCGAGCGCCGACCGGGCGGCGGGGUUGGCUCUGCAUCGGCGUCUACCCUCCCCUCGGGCAGCCUCGUAGAAAGUGACUGACCAGCCUCGGGCAGGCACCCUCCCCCUAGGGCACCUCAGCGUCGCAGUCGCCUCCUUUUAUUUGUGGCGGCGCGCGCAUCGCUCCCCCAUCCGUAUCGCUCUCGUUGUCAGCCGGAGAACCAACAAGCCCACCUUCGAAUCUAUAUUCGAACGGGGGGAAAAGAUAGCGACGGAUUUCCCUCUGGAUCCGGUGAGCAGUCUACCAAUCUGUGAUGCAUGCCCAGCGGAGGUAGCCGUCUUGAGCUUGCAUGGGGACGACUCUGCCAGCAGCUACGCUGGCCCCGCGGCGGCCGGUGCAUCGGUGAUUGGGGAUCUCGCAGACGGAGCUAGUGUCGGAGAUGUCGGCAGCGUGAUGGCCCUGAUUCCGCGCAGUCAACCGGUAUCGACAAUCCCCAGUCUGCUGGGUGGACGAAGAGGCAACAGGUACAGCUCAAUUUCACCUUACUUGAUCAGGGAGGAAUGCGAGCACUUGAUCAGAUAACAUUCAGUCAACAGCUACAGCUCGAUUUCACCACUUGAUCACGAAGGGCGUCGAGCACUUGAUUAGAGAGGACGGUGAGCACUUGAUUAGAGAGGACGACGGGCACUUGUUCUAGGACAAAGGCGACACACGAGAUGACCAGGUCGAGGAGAAGCAGAGGCCCCGCGGUGGCGCGCUGUCGAGGAGGAGCUGCUCAGCGGAGCAGCGUCGCAGCCGAUGAGCGAACGGAGAAGUGGAGCAGAAGAGGACCGGCAGCGCGUCGAGCUCGAGCGCGGCCCCGCGAGCAGGCCAGGAGCGCUGGCGUGGAUCAAAGAGCAGGCUGGCGGCGAGCGAGGCCAGUGCGUGGAGCAGCGAGGCCUGCCGGCGGCGCAGUGGUGAGCCGAGCAGAGGACGGUGGGACAGAUGGAAUAUAAAUCACGAUGUACAAUUGCUGGUGUCAUGUGCUGCAGGGAAAGCCAACGUGCGUGUGUCAUCCGGACCGAGUGACUCAGAAUCAUGAGUUCACUGAGACAAUGUGGUUAGUCCAGCACGGUCCAGUUCGUCGGUUCUCCGCUUGGACCGAGUACGGGACAACGGCUAGAUGGGCAUUAAUGUGGUCAAUGUGUGGGUCAGGUUACUGUUUAAUAAUAGACAUACGUGCUGGAAUACUGCACACUAUACUCUGUGAGGCCCAUAUCCCAAGGAAACUGAAUGGUCUAGAUAAAGGGAUCAUCUGGACCCGAGUUUCGUUUUGAA
This is a long non-coding RNA of Lolium perenne, 1329 nucleotides long. RefSeq lists it as uncharacterized. The record is from RefSeq and is a predicted model, not a curated record. NCBI's taxonomy places the organism in Eukaryota, Viridiplantae, Streptophyta, Magnoliopsida, Poales, Poaceae.